GUGAGUAGGGUUGUUUGGGGGAGAGUUAGUAUUAGUCCUUACCUGACACCUGAAGGCAAUAUUGUCUGUCCUUGUGGGAGUUGAUAAUUCCUCCAGGCACUGGUCAGCUACCUAAACGGGAGUGCUGUGUGCAUGGGAAAAAUCAAAGGACUCGCAGGGACUUCAACCCAGUUAAAACAGGAUCCUUGGAUUCACCACAGGAAAGAAUCUCUGGGCAGCACAGUAUGAAGCAGAGUUGGGGGUCUAUUAAGAGACGGUAUUUGUUUUGUUGUUUAUUUAUUUAUUUAUUUAUUUUUGAGACAGUGUCUAUAACUGGACCUGGGGGCUACCAAAUUGGCUAGGCUUGCUGGCCAGCAAGCUUCACUGAUGUUCCUGUCUUGGCUCUCUGCCCUCACCAGCACCAGGGUUUACAGGCAUGGACAACCAUGCUUGACUUUGGCUGACUUCAGG
RNAcentral lists this long non-coding RNA (450 nucleotides) under Cricetulus griseus (Chinese hamster). Its description in RNAcentral is "lncRNA (ENSCGRG00015034876.1)". The record is from RNAcentral. Lineage: Eukaryota; Metazoa; Chordata; Mammalia; Rodentia; Cricetidae.